Molecule: long non-coding RNA, 1712 nt
Filed under: Haliotis rubra (blacklip abalone)
Lineage: Eukaryota; Metazoa; Mollusca; Gastropoda; Lepetellida; Haliotidae
Description: uncharacterized LOC124290546, transcript variant X3
Source: RNAcentral
AUGUCAAUAGAAAAUCAUAUAGAAACAUUUCUUGGUGGUGUUAUACAGUUUUGUGGCCAACAGUAUUAUUUGUGCUUGUCCUGUGUAGGCCAGGUUAAUGAAUAUGCAUUUCACGUGCAUUUCAUGUUUAUGGGAAUCUUUGUUAUAACACGGAUGAUUUUGAUUGGUUGAUUGGAUCGUCUGCUUCAACAUGAUCAUACCUCGUGGUGUCUUGUGAGUUUCAUUGCAUUCUGAGGGCUGAUAAUGUGAGGUCGAGUCAGAGGAGUCACCAGAAUGGAAACCUUUCCUAAGUGUUCUGUUUGCCAUCAGCAGUUUACCCUGAAAGGCCCCGCCCCUGUCUACACGCUGUGUGUGAGACGUGUGUGACAUCUGCAGUUGGGUGUGUGAUAUCAUGCUCUACAUGUCAGAGGGAGGUCAACCUCAAAGACACAAGCCUCCAGAAGGAUGGAGCGAGACAGAAGGAAAUAUUCCACCUGACAGUCAAACAUCGCCCUACAGAGCUCCUCUGUACAACCAGGCUGUGUGUUGGUGUCGGGAGUGUGAAGAGUUCCUCUGUGAGUACUGCCUGAACAUGCACAGCCGUGUUAUAGCUACCAGAGGACAUGUUGUUGAAACCUUUACGGAUAAAACACGGGGAAGUAUGUACGCUGAAUCACAAUCGUUCACACUGGAGAGAUCAAUACAAGACGCACCGCACAUCAAUUCCACCAGUGAUGAACAGAACACCUGCAAACGGUUUCAUCACAAUGGGCCUUGAUAAAUUGAAAUCCGACAUAUCCGGGUUUGGGUGUGUCAAUGGAUAUGGCUCAGUACAAACAGCUGAAGUUCUUGGAGGUUCCUAACGAUCCAGCACCACUACCACGGUGUGAAGCUGGGCGUGAAACCUUCACACGUGAAGCAGGGACGACGACGACGGUGACACUACAGUGUGAGUACAAUCAGAUGCUAACUGUCUUCAACACUUGCUGAAACGACAUUGUCCGGACUUCAUAAACAGGAUACCAGACGAGGCGUGAAGUUCCGGGUUAGAAUUAGUCGUCAGCAUCCCAUGCUGUACUGGGCGUGACGUACACGGGAUGACGUACACGGGAUGACGUACACUGGAUGACGUACACUGGAUGACGUACACGGGAUGACGUACACGGGAUGACGUACUGGGCGUGCUGUACACGGGAUGACGUACACGGGAUGACGUACACGGGAUGACGUACACGGGAUGACGUACACGGGAUGCUGUACACUGGAUGCUGUACACUGGAUGCUGUACACUGGAUGCUGUACACUGGAUGACGUACACGGGAUGACGUACACGGGGUGACGUACACGGGGUGCUGUACUGGGCGUGCUGUACACGGGAUGCCGUACACUGUUUUUCGCCGCUUUUAGCAUAAUUGCAGCAAAAUCACGACGGGGGACACUAGAAAUGGGCUUCACACGUUUUACCCAUAUGGGGAAUUGAAACCGGGCCUUCGGCGUAACGAGGAAACGCUUGAACCAGUAAGCUACCCCACCGACCCCACCAUGUAGAGAUUAUAUUGUGUGUUUCGUGAACCGUCCUAUUUAUCACAUACAUCGUUGGUUGUCGGCUUACCAUUUUAAACAAUUACACAAAAUAGUACCGUAUGACCAGAAAUUAUCGAGAAUUUUUGGAAUAUGUUUAAUUGGAUGUCCAGUAUAAACAACCUUGACCAGCUAUCAAGUGCUUGGUUUCA